CGAGGUCACAUGGAGUAACCGUUUCGGUGAAAGACGACCUUCGCAAAAGGAGAUAUGCUUCCCUUGGUGAAAGCCCAUAAAACUGCCCAUCGACGACUUUUACACGGACGCUGCUUGCAUGGCGGGGGAUUGCGCUGACCUCGUUUCAUGUGUAAGGUCAAUGUAGUUUGGACGCGCACCUACAACUUAACUAUGCGGAGGGCGAAUAAUUUUUAUGACAAGC
Molecule: non-coding RNA, 223 nt
Filed under: unclassified sequences
Description: RT-2 RNA
Rfam family: RT-2 RNA
About the family: Coriobacteriales (Actinobacteria), Clostridiales (Firmicutes). Downstream gene
Source: Rfam by way of RNAcentral